CACCAGUGAAAGAGGGGAAGUUGCUACUGUGAUGAAUUCUGCCAUGUGGUACCAGACUGCUGCCCAGACCACAGUGUCCUCUGCAACCCUGCUUCUCAGAUGACCAAGAUGGUGCUGCCGAUGGUGUUGAGGACGGAGAACCCACCAAGCCCCGUUAGGAGCCACCUAGACUGGAUGCAGAGCACAGCCCAUCAGAAACUCAAAAGAAUGCUACCUUUGUCUCUCACCCACCUGUGCCCUGGAAGCUUUCUCCUGGCUUCAAGUUGUCCCACCUUUGCUUGGCAUUGCCCUGCCUUUUCCAGACUGAACAAAUGUUCAUCUUACAUAUGUUGAUUGAUGUCUCAUGUCUCCCUAAAACAUAUGAAAUCAAGCUGUGCUCUGACCACCUUGGCACAUGUCGUCAGGACCUCCUGAGGCUGUGUCACGGACGCGCAUCUUCAACCUUGGAAAAAUAAACUUUCUAAAUUAACUGA
Molecule: long non-coding RNA, 473 nt
Filed under: Pongo abelii (Sumatran orangutan)
Lineage: Eukaryota; Metazoa; Chordata; Mammalia; Primates; Hominidae
Description: lincRNA
Source: RNAcentral